UUAUAUUUAGUAGAUGAAGUUCUGUUUGUGCAGUUUUUUCCUUGUGGAUUUUUUUAGUAUUGUGCAAUUUUUUAUGGUGCAGUUUUUUUGCAUUGUGCAGUUUUUUGUAUGCAGUUUUUGCAUCAUGCUGUUUUUGUAAUGUUGUAUGCAGCUUUUGUAUGCAGUUUUUGCAUUAUGCAGUUUUUUGUAAUGUUGUAUGUAGUUUCUUGUAUACAGUUUUUGCAUCAUGCAGUUUUUUGUAGUGUUGUAUGUAAUUUCUUGUAUGCAGUUUUUGUAUCAAAUUUUUCGUUGCAAUAUGUAAGCUAGAACAAGAAACACUAAUAUCACAUUUGUAAUGAUCUAAAAGGAUAACAUAGCAACAAUAUCUCUUUUGCAAACAUAACAGUACUAUAUCAUCAGCAGUCAAUAUUACAUAUUGAAACAACAUUUACCAUCAUUUUUCUCAUAUAAUUUUAGAAGAACAGAAUUUUAACACACAGAAUUGCUAAAAUAAAUACAAUAAAUAUCUUUCUUUUAGUUUCGAUUCUUUCCAUCAAUGCUGUUGUUCUUGUAGAAACUUCUGCAACUUUAGCCUUCAAGUUCUCUAUUUGCUCGGACAAGAUAGGGAUGUUGUAAUUUAUGGUUUGAAUAUCUUCUCAUUUGAUUAUUUUUGGGAAGAUGCUGAUGAUUCAAACGCCGAACUUUCUUUCAACUGUGAGAGAUUUGAACUUUCUCCUUCCAAACGUUAUUUGAAUAUCAUUGAUUUUUUAUCGCACCACAUGAAAAAAUCACAGUAAUUUUUAUUAUCCUUUUCAUAUUUAUGACAACUAUUAAAUUGUCGUCCUUUUCUUCUAGCUUGUUGUGAAGAUCUAAUUAUAACUAUCUCAUUAUAUAUAUUUGCACAAAACUAGCCUGUCUUCAAGAGAACUUGGCAUCAGCAAUCUACACAAAAUGGUAAAACAAGUUUUUUUAAAAAAGACUG
Molecule: long non-coding RNA, 961 nt
Filed under: Ananas comosus (pineapple)
Lineage: Eukaryota; Viridiplantae; Streptophyta; Magnoliopsida; Poales; Bromeliaceae
Description: long non-coding RNA (ACOM_LNC024656)
Source: RNAcentral